UGGAAGAGGAUAUGAUCCCAUUUGUGCUUA
Molecule: non-coding RNA, 30 nt
Filed under: Mus musculus (house mouse)
Lineage: Eukaryota; Metazoa; Chordata; Mammalia; Rodentia; Muridae
Source: RNAcentral